UGUUGUCAUUAUCUUAGUUAGUUAGUUAGUUAGAGGUCCAGAUAAUUGUUGUAUGGGCAAGACUCCUGUCCCUCCCUCUCCUUCCCUCCCUUCCUCUCCACCUGUCCCCCAAGUUCCCAGUCUGUGGAGGUCCAGAUAAUUGUUGUAUGGGCAAGACUCCUGUCCCUCCCUCUCCUUCCCUCCCUUCCUCUCCCUCUCCCCCAAGUUCCCAGUCUGUGGAGGUCCAGAUAAUUGUUGUAAGGGCAAGACUCCUGUCCCUCCCUCUCCUUCCCUCCCUUCCUCUCCCUCUCCCCCAAGUUCCCAGUCUGUGGAGGUCCAGAUAAUUGUUGUAAGGGCAAGACUCCUGUCCCUCCCUCUCCUUCCCUCCCUUCCUCUCCCUCUCCCCCAAGUUCCCAGUCUGUGGAGGUCCAGAUAAUUGUUGUAUGGGCAAGACUCCUGUCCCUCCCUCUCCUUCCCUCCCUUCCUCUCCCUCUCCCCUAAGUUCCCAGUCUGCAGAGGUCCAGAUAAAUGUUGUAAGGGCAAGACUCCUGUCCCUCCCUCUCCCUUCCUUUCCAGUCUUUCUCUCUUGUUCCAUUAUUUAUUUUCUCUCCCUCCCUCUUUCUUUGCUCUCUCCCUUCUUUCAUCUCCUCUCCCUUCAGCCGCAUUAUCGUCUUCCUUCUAAUCCAUAGCAUUUUCUCUCUCCCUUUUACAUCUGCUUUAUUUCUCUCUCUCUCUCUCUCUCUCUCUCUCUCUCUCUCUCUCUCUCUCUCUCUCUCUUCAAACCCAUUGGAAUAACAAUAAUAAUAACACACACUACAAGUCCAUCUUUAUUUAUCAACAGCACACACACACACACACACACACACACACACACACACACACACACACAGGGGAGGUCAUGUGGCUAUCUAUGGUGUGGGUUGGGUUGCUGUCUAAGAGGGCAUGUGUCUGUAGGGUGACAUCCUGUUGACCUUGUGACCUGAGAGGGGGGGGGGGGUCCUUUUAUGUGGCUGGGGGGUAUGUGUCUGUGGGGAUUGUCAACAUACUGUGGUGAGACAUCCUGUGGGGUCCUGUGGGCUGUGGUGAGGUGAGGUGAGUGAGUAUAUAGAUAUAUAGAUAUAUAUAUAUAUAUAUAUAUAUAUAUAUAUAUAUAUAUAUAUAUAUAUAUAUAUAUAUAUAUAUAUAUAUAUAUAUAUAUAUAUAUAUUUUCCUUCUUGAACAUCUCCAGGACUUGUUCAGUCUCCCAGGUGAUCUCUUCUCCUGACACUGCCACAUCAAGAGGAGGAGGAGGAGGAGGAAAGAGAGAGAGGAGGUACUCUCUGUGUGUAUAUAUGUAUGUCUGUGUAUAAGGUUCCAUAGGCGAGAUCUUCCCCCGGCCUUCUAUGGGGCUCAAAUUAUGCCCCCACAGAAGGGUUCGGGGAGGAGCCAGUCUGUGGAGCCUGAUUGAACGUUGUCAAAAUAUAUAUUAAUAAAGUUUUUGAAAUUAUGAAGAAAUUGUGUUUUACUGUGUGUGUGUGUGUGUGUGUGUGUGUGUGUGUGUGAGAGAGAGAGAGAGAGAGAGAGAGAGAGAGAGAGAGAGAGAGAGAGAGAGAGAGA
Long non-coding RNA from Eriocheir sinensis (Chinese mitten crab), 1575 nucleotides. RefSeq lists it as uncharacterized. Lineage: Eukaryota; Metazoa; Arthropoda; Malacostraca; Decapoda; Varunidae. The transcript is spliced from 2 exons. The record is from RefSeq and is a predicted model, not a curated record.